This 331-nucleotide ribosomal RNA is filed under the name Escherichia coli. Its description in RNAcentral is "partial 23S ribosomal RNA". It matches the Rfam family "Bacterial large subunit ribosomal RNA", at positions 1292 to 1629 of the family's 2925-position model. Lineage: Bacteria; Pseudomonadati; Pseudomonadota; Gammaproteobacteria; Enterobacterales; Enterobacteriaceae. The record is from RNAcentral.
GAAUGCUGACAUAAGUAACGAUAAAGCGGGUGAAAAGCCCGCUCGCCGGAAGACCAAGGGUUCCUGUCCAACGUUAAUCGGGGCAGGGUGAGUCGACCCCUAAGGCGAGGCCGAAAGGCGUAGUCGAUGGGAAACAGGUUAAUAUUCCUGUACUUGGUGUUACUGCGAAGGGGGGACGGAGAAGGCUAUGUUGGCCGGGCGACGGUUGUCCCGGUUUAAGCGUGUAGGCUGGUUUUCCAGGCAAAUCCGGAAAAUCAAGGCUGAGGCGUGAUGACGAGGCACUACGGUGCUGAAGCGACAAAUGCCCUGCUUCCAGGAAAAGCCUCUAAGC